GAUGAAGAACGGAGCGAAAUGCGAUAAGUAAUGCGAAUUGCAGAAUUCCAGUGAGUCAUCGAAUCUUUGAACGCACAUUGCGCCCUUUGGUAUUCCGAAGGGCAUGCCUGUUCGAGCGUCAUUAUCACCCCUCAAGCCCUCGGCUUGGUGUUGGACGGUUUGGUGGAGGCCCCCUCGGGGGCUCCUGCCCCUCCCAAAGACAAUGACGGCGGCCUCGUUGGACCCCCGGUACACUGAGUUCUUCACGGGACACGUAUCGGACACAUGGGUUUACGGGACACGGUCUGCCUCCCCUCAGGGAGAAUCUUUCUAAGGUUGACCUCGGAUCAGGUAGGGAUACCCGCUGAACUUAAGCAUAUCAAUAAGCGGAGGA
Molecule: unclassified non-coding RNA, 373 nt
Filed under: soil metagenome
Description: partial contains 5.8S ribosomal RNA, internal transcribed spacer 2, and large subunit ribosomal RNA
Rfam family: 5.8S ribosomal RNA (bases 1-121)
Source: RNAcentral